Molecule: long non-coding RNA, 597 nt
Organism: Juglans regia (Persian walnut)
Lineage: Eukaryota; Viridiplantae; Streptophyta; Magnoliopsida; Fagales; Juglandaceae
Exons: 3
Source: RefSeq, a predicted model, not a curated record
UUGAUGCUGGUUGCAGCAGUAUGCUGGUUUUAGAAGUAUGGUUGUUUUAGCAGUAUGCUGGCUGCAGAGGACUUACAUAUGUUAACUAGUUUUCUCUGGAUGAUCUAAUCUUUGCUGAUGCUGCACAUAUGAGAUGGACCUAUGAUUCAUUGACUGCGAUGUGGAUACUGAACGUGAACUGCAAGUUCUAUAUAUGAAUACUUGAAUGCUGGUGCGAAUUUUGCUGCAGAAUAAUGAGGCAUGUGGAGAUGUUUUUAGCACAUGGGCACAUGACCGUAGCUGUGAAGUGGUUGCUGAUGCCUGUUCUGUUCUCUGAUUGGUUGGUGAUUAACUUUUGCAGUAUUAGGGAAUAAAUACUGCUACUUGGCUGUUGCUGCCCACUCUAUAUUAGUUGGGGUUGGCAAUUUUACUAGCUGUUGUGAGAUUGAUUGUCGCUGCCAAGCUGUGUUGCUUGCUUGCUUGCCAACAAUCAAUUCUUAAAUUAUAGUCAUACAUAUGCAUAGUGUUAUGCUUUGUGCCUGUGGAUUUAUAGUUUUGUCUCACUGUAACAAGUUUAAUGCUAUGAAAAAUUGAUUCUAUACUUAAUUUGCCAUAACA